UACGUAGGGUGCGAGCGUUAAUCGGAAUUACUGGGCGUAAAGCGUGCGCAGGCGGUGGCUCAAGCCAGGCGUGAAAUCCCCGGGCUUAACCUGGGAAUGGCGUUUGGGACUGGGUCGCUAGAGUAUGGGAGAGGGCAGUGGAAUUCCCGGUGUAGCGGUGAAAUGCGUAGAUAUCGGGAGGAACAUCAGUGGCGAAGGCGGCUGCCUGGCCCAAUACUGACACUCAGGUGCG
This 232-nucleotide ribosomal RNA is filed under the name uncultured prokaryote. Its description in RNAcentral is "partial 16S ribosomal RNA". It matches the Rfam family "Bacterial small subunit ribosomal RNA", at positions 524 to 755 of the family's 1533-position model. The record is from RNAcentral.